UUUCNNUGGGCGCAAGCCUGAUGGAGCGACGCCGCGUGGGGGAUGAAUGGCUUCGGCCCGUAAACCCCUGUCAUUUGCGAACAAAUUGGUUCAAUUAACACCUGAGCCAUUGAUAGUAGCGAAAGAGGAAGGGACGGCUAACUCUGUGCCAGCAGCCGCGGUAAUACAGAGGUCCCAAGCGUUGUUCGGAUUCACUGGGCGUAAAGGGUGCGUAGGUGGUGAGGUAAGUCGGAUGUGAAAGCUCGGAGCUCAACUCCGAAAUGGCAUUGGAAACUACCUUGCUCGAGGGUUGGAGGGGGGACUGGAAUGCUUGGUGUAGCAGUGAAAUGCGUAGAUAUCAAGCGGAACACCAGUGGCGAAGGCGAGUCCCUGGACAACUCCUGACACUGAGGCACGAAAGCUAGGGGAGCAAACAGGAUUAGAUACCCUGGUAGUCCUAGCCGUAAACGGUGCACGUUUGCUGUAAAAGGAAUCGACCCCUUUUGUGGCGUAGCCAACGCGUUAAACGUGCCGCCUGGGAAGUACGGUCGCAAGAUUAAAACUCAAAAAAAUUGACGGA
Molecule: ribosomal RNA, 559 nt
Filed under: uncultured bacterium
Lineage: Bacteria
Description: bacterial SSU rRNA
Rfam family: Bacterial small subunit ribosomal RNA
Source: RNAcentral